RNAcentral lists this ribosomal RNA (2506 nucleotides) under Escherichia coli. RNAcentral's name for it is "partial 23S ribosomal RNA". It matches the Rfam family "Bacterial large subunit ribosomal RNA", at positions 296 to 2797 of the family's 2925-position model. Lineage: Bacteria; Pseudomonadati; Pseudomonadota; Gammaproteobacteria; Enterobacterales; Enterobacteriaceae. The record is from RNAcentral.
GCCCAGAGCCUGAAUCAGUGUGUGUGUUAGUGGAAGCGUCUGGAAAGGCGCGCGAUACAGGGUGACAGCCCCGUACACAAAAAUGCACAUAUUGUGAGCUCGAUGAGUAGGGCGGGACACGUGGUAUCCUGUCUGAAUAUGGGGGGACCAUCCUCCAAGGCUAAAUACUCCUGACUGACCGAUAGUGAACCAGUACCGUGAGGGAAAGGCGAAAAGAACCCCGGCGAGGGGAGUGAAAAAGAACCUGAAACCGUGUACGUACAAGCAGUGGGAGCCUCUUUAUGGGGUGACUGCGUACCUUUUGUAUAAUGGGUCAGCGACUUAUAUUCUGUAGCAAGGUUAACCGAAUAGGGGAGCCGAAGGGAAACCGAGUCUUAACUGGGCGUUAAGUUGCAGGGUAUAGACCCGAAACCCGGUGAUCUAGCCAUGGGCAGGUUGAAGGUUGGGUAACACUAACUGGAGGACCGAACCGACUAAUGUUGAAAAAUUAGCGGAUGACUUGUGGCUGGGGGUGAAAGGCCAAUCAAACCGGGAGAUAGCUGGUUCUCCCCGAAAGCUAUUUAGGUAGCGCCUCGUGAAUUCAUCUCCGGGGGUAGAGCACUGUUUCGGCAAGGGGGUCAUCCCGACUUACCAACCCGAUGCAAACUGCGAAUACCGGAGAAUGUUAUCACGGGAGACACACGGCGGGUGCUAACGUCCGUCGUGAAGAGGGAAACAACCCAGACCGCCAGCUAAGGUCCCAAAGUCAUGGUUAAGUGGGAAACGAUGUGGGAAGGCCCAGACAGCCAGGAUGUUGGCUUAGAAGCAGCCAUCAUUUAAAGAAAGCGUAAUAGCUCACUGGUCGAGUCGGCCUGCGCGGAAGAUGUAACGGGGCUAAACCAUGCACCGAAGCUGCGGCAGCGACACUAUGUGUUGUUGGGUAGGGGAGCGUUCUGUAAGCCUGUGAAGGUGGCCUGUGAGGGUUGCUGGAGGUAUCAGAAGUGCGAAUGCUGACAUAAGUAACGAUAAAGCGGGUGAAAAGCCCGCUCGCCGGAAGACCAAGGGUUCCUGUCCAACGUUAAUCGGGGCAGGGUGAGUCGACCCCUAAGGCGAGGCCGAAAGGCGUAGUCGAUGGGAAACAGGUUAAUAUUCCUGUACUUGGUGUUACUGCGAAGGGGGGACGGAGAAGGCUAUGUUGGCCGGGCGACGGUUGUCCCGGUUUAAGCGUGUAGGCUGGUUUUCCAGGCAAAUCCGGAAAACCAAGGCUGAGGCGUGAUGACGAGGCACUACGGUGCUGAAGCGACAAAUGCCCUGCUUCCAGGAAAAGCCUCUAAGCAUCAGGUAACAUCAAAUCGUACCCCAAACCGACACAGGUGGUCAGGUAGAGAAUACCAAGGCGCUUGAGAGAACUCGGGUGAAGGAACUAGGCAAAAUGGUGCCGUAACUUCGGGAGAAGGCACGCUGAUAUGUAGGUGAAGCGACUUGCUCGUGGAGCUGAAAUCAGUCGAAGAUACCAGCUGGCUGCAACUGUUUAUUAAAAACACAGCACUGUGCAAACACGAAAGUGGACGUAUACGGUGUGACGCCUGCCCGGUGCCGGAAGGUUAAUUGAUGGGGUUAGCGGUAACGCGAAGCUCUUGAUCGAAGCCCCGGUAAACGGCGGCCGUAACUAUAACGGUCCUAAGGUAGCGAAAUUCCUUGUCGGGUAAGUUCCGACCUGCACGAAUGGCGUAAUGAUGGCCAGGCUGUCUCCACCCGAGACUCAGUGAAAUUGAACUCGCUGUGAAGAUGCAGUGUACCCGCGGCAAGACGGAAAGACCCCGUGAACCUUUACUAUAGCUUGACACUGAACAUUGAGCCUUGAUGUGUAGGAUAGGUGGGAGGCUUUGAAGUGUGGACGCCAGUCUGCAUGGAGCCGACCUUGAAAUACCACCCUUUAAUGUUUGAUGUUCUAACGUUGGCCCGUAAUCCGGGUUGCGGACAGUGUCUGGUGGGUAGUUUGACUGGGGCGGUCUCCUCCUAAAGAGUAACGGAGGAGCACGAAGGUUGGCUAAUCCUGGUCGGACAUCAGGAGGUUAGUGCAAUGGCAUAAGCCAGCUUGACUGCGAGCGUGACGGCGCGAGCAGGUGCGAAAGCAGGUCAUAGUGAUCCGGUGGUUCUGAAUGGAAGGGCCAUCGCUCAACGGAUAAAAGGUACUCCGGGGAUAACAGGCUGAUACCGCCCAAGAGUUCAUAUCGACGGCGGUGUUUGGCACCUCGAUGUCGGCUCAUCACAUCCUGGGGCUGAAGUAGGUCCCAAGGGUAUGGCUGUUCGCCAUUUAAAGUGGUACGCGAGCUGGGUUUAGAACGUCGUGAGACAGUUCGGUCCCUAUCUGCCGUGGGCGCUGGAGAACUGAGGGGGGCUGCUCCUAGUACGAGAGGACCGGAGUGGACGCAUCACUGGUGUUCGGGUUGUCAUGCCAAUGGCACUGCCCGGUAGCUAAAUGCGGAAGAGAUAAGUGCUGAAAGCAUCUAAGCACGAAACUUGC